Long non-coding RNA from Myotis lucifugus (little brown bat), 2223 nucleotides. RefSeq lists it as uncharacterized. Lineage: Eukaryota; Metazoa; Chordata; Mammalia; Chiroptera; Vespertilionidae. The record is from RefSeq and is a predicted model, not a curated record. The transcript is spliced from 2 exons.
CUGACCGGGGACUCGGAGCCUCCCCUCUUCCAGGAGAUGGCGUGCCUCAGUGGCUCCCUGGAGUCUCUUUCCCGAGGUCUUUAGGGUCUAAAAGUGCUGAACCCUCCACAGUGGUUGGUGGAUGAAGGGAAGGAAAGGGGUGACAGGCGAGGGACCCUGCAGGCCUGUUGCCCAGGAGGCCACCCACCCCUGUGGGCACAUCACUCGGCCGGGGAGCCAGUGGCCCUGUGGGUUUGCAUCCCCUGGUGGAUUGGGAGAGCGCCCCUGACCCGCGGUUCCCUCACCACCGCACCCUCACUAGGAAGGGACCAGGCGCAUUAAAUGGUCCCGCUGUCUGGCCAGGCAGCGACGCGGGUGGACCCAGUCCACCUCCCAAACCACCAGUGGUUCCGUGGAGGGCUUGGGGCUGCAGGUGAGACCUUCACAUCGAGGUGAGACGGACAGACUGAAAUCCAGUUCCCACUGGGGCUAAACUUUGACACACCCAUUGGCCGGAGUCCUGUGCCCACUGAGCUGUCUGUUCCGCUCGCUGUCUUUGGGAGAGCAGAGGGCAGAGGUGAGUGUGCUCUGACCCUGACCCUGACCCUGUCCUGCUCUAGGUCAGCGGGGACGGGCUGAGGAUAGGCCGGGGAUCCCACGAAGGGUUGUUUCUUCCCAGUUUCCCUUCUGUGCGAGGAUUUGCUUGGGGUUUAGAUUUGGUUUUGCUUUCCCUGCACACCCCAGCAUGGCACGGUGCCACCGUGGCCUUCAUUCUUGCUCCCGGCCUGGUGAGCACUUCCCAGUUCUCCUGCUGGAUGCCAUCACUUUCCCCGGGGAUGCACCCCUGGGUGACAGACAGGCCAGAGGAUGUGGGUGCUCAGCAGGCAGACCCCAUUCCAGCGCACUCCCCGCACCGGCAGCACCACCUCUGAGUCCCCUGUCUGGUCCCUGAGCAGAUGACUAGCAGGACCUGGGCCCUGAGCACAUGCCACCCUGAGCUCAGAAGUGAUGGAGGGGCACCUUCGGCCAGAGCGGGGGAUCCUGGCUAAGGGGUCAUGGAGAGGAUCAAGGGGGGCAGGCAGACCCACUGAUCCCAGCUUCCCUGACCUUGACUUAAACCUAAAAGCCCAGAUUUUGCAAUUAGUCUAAUCUGCCGACCCCCAGCGAACCAUCCACCAGGCUUUGGGGGCCCCUGUCUCCUUCCUGGGGACACAGCCAGAGCUCUGAAAAGCUAACCGUGGAGAGCAAAUUCCCCCAAGUUGGGUUCGUCACAUCUCUUCCCUGGGGUGUGCAGGGAAAACAAGAGAAGAGGGUUUUUUUUAAGGAUUUUUUUGAGAAUCCCCAACCCAAGAGCCAGUCUGGGAGACAGCUCUCAGGGUGCAGCGGGAGAGCCCCGCGGAUCUUAGCUUAGGCGACAAGCGUCCAUCCAGCCGCACCAGCCUGGCAUCGAGCUUAGAACUUUUACGUCAGGAACGUGCCUGUGGCUCCCAAACAGACCCGUCCUCAGCCUCCUCCAGAUGUGGAGGCCGAGAACGAGACGCAUUCCUUCUCUGCGUUCUCUCAAACAGAUCUUUCCAGCCAUGUCGCCUGGCGGAGCCCAGCUUUAGAAUGGCAGAUAGGACCUCCCAGAGUCUUCAGGUGUUAACGCAGGAGCUUCUAGGUCAGGGGUGGGAGGGCCAUUUGGAUAUUUACAACGUCGUUCACAGGCCAUCCAAAAUCAUCAACGUGAAAAUGAGCCUGCUCUAUGUGGCCAAACAUUUAAUUAACUCACCCCUGAUGCCUUGGCAGGGCCACACCCAAUGGUUUUGCGGGCCUUACUGGCUCGUUCCCCACCCCUGUUCUAAAGCAAGUUUUGGAAGAAAGACUAGUGGCUAUAAAAAUAUAAACAUAUAUAGUUAUAUAUAUUUAAAGAGAUGCCAAUAUAUAAGCAAAAUUACUGUACUCUACGAACCCGUGCAGUGUGACUUGCGUGGUUCCUAAUGCAUGAGUGUAAAUAUUUGCGACCUGCCUUCCUACCUGUGCCGGGCACACUGGAAGCCGGCUCCUGGCCUCGUUCUGUCUCAGUGGGCAUGUGGGCGCCCAUCUGUCCACCCAGGAGCCCAUGAUGUCGAUUUCAUGCUGAGACUUUGCACACGAAGUAGGACCGGCAGCGUUUUUUUUUGGAGGGGGGGGGCUGUUUGUUAAUUACGGGGAAGAAAGCAUCAUGCCUUUUUUAUUUUCAAUAAAAACGUACUUGUAAAGAUG